UGCAGAAUUCAGUGAAUCAUCGAAUCUUUGAACGCACAUUGCGCCCUUUGGUAUUCCAAAGGGCAUGCCUGUUCGAGCGUCA
RNAcentral lists this ribosomal RNA (82 nucleotides) under Cyperus rotundus. Its description in RNAcentral is "partial 5.8S ribosomal RNA". It matches the Rfam family "5.8S ribosomal RNA", at positions 73 to 154 of the family's 154-position model. Rfam says of the family: 5.8S ribosomal RNA (5.8S rRNA) is a component of the large subunit of the eukaryotic ribosome. It is transcribed by RNA polymerase I as part of the 45S precursor that also contains 18S and 28S rRNA. Lineage: Eukaryota; Viridiplantae; Streptophyta; Magnoliopsida; Poales; Cyperaceae. The record is from RNAcentral.